Small nuclear RNA from Hyla sarda, 188 nucleotides. RefSeq annotates it as U2 spliceosomal RNA. NCBI's taxonomy places the organism in Eukaryota, Metazoa, Chordata, Amphibia, Anura, Hylidae. The record is from RefSeq and is a predicted model, not a curated record. The transcript has a single exon.
AUAUGUUGUAAAUAUGUUAUUUAUAUUUAACUGUAUCUGUUCUUAUCAGUUUAAUAUCUGAUACGUCCCCUAUCUGGGGACCAUAUAUUAAAUGGAUUUUUGAGAACGGGGGCCGAUUUCGAAGCUUGCUUCCGUCGCCCUAUGCAUUGACCCGAUAUGGCAGUAUCUUCGGGUACAGUGCACCACCC